RNAcentral lists this ribosomal RNA (830 nucleotides) under Agaricus erythrosarx. RNAcentral describes it as "eukaryotic LSU rRNA". It matches the Rfam family "Eukaryotic large subunit ribosomal RNA", at positions 127 to 945 of the family's 3401-position model. The record is from RNAcentral. Lineage: Eukaryota; Fungi; Basidiomycota; Agaricomycetes; Agaricales; Agaricaceae.
GUCUCUGGCUGUCCGAGUUGUAAUCUAGAGAAGUAAUGCCCGUGCUGGACCGUGUAUAAGUCUCCUGGGAUGGGGCGUCAUGGAGGGUGAGAAUCCCGUCUUUGACACGGACUACCAGUGCAUUGUGGUAUGCUCUCAAAGAGUCGAGUUGUUUGGGAAUGCAGCUCAAAAUGGGUGGUAAAUUCCAUCUAAAGCUAAAUAUUGGCGAGAGACCGAUAGCGAACAAGUACCGUGAGGGAAAGAUGAAAAGAACUUUGGAAAGAGAGUUAAACAGUACGUGAAAUUGCUGAAAGGGAAACGCUUGAAGUCAGUCGCGUUGGCCAGGGAUCAGCCUUGCUUUUGCAUGGUGUACUUUCUGGCUGACGGGUCAGCAUCAAUUUUGACCGCUGGAAAAGGGCCUGGGGAAUGUGGCAGCUUCGGCUGUGUUAUAGCCCCUAGUCACAUACGGCGGUUGGGAUUGAGGAACUCAGCACGCCACAAGGCCGGGUUUCGACCACGUUCGUGCUUAGGAUGUUGGCAUAAUGGCUUUAAGCGACCCGUCUUGAAACACGGACCAAGGAGUCUAACAUGCCUGCGAGUAUUUGGGUGGAAAACCCGAGUGCACAAUGAAAGUGAAAGUUGAGAUCCCUGUCGUGGGGAGCAUCGACGCCCGGACCAGAACUUUUGGGACGGAUCCGCGGUGGAGCAUGCAUGUUGGGACCCGAAAGAUGGUGAACUAUGCCUGAAUAGGGUGAAGCCAGAGGAAACUCUGGUGGAGGCUCGUAGCGAUUCUGACGUGCAAAUCGAUCGUCAAAUUUGGGUAUAGGGCUGAAAGACUAAUCGAACCAUCU